UGGGUUUGACAUACGCCGGAAAGCUCCAGAGAUGGGGGCCCUUUUGCUGGUGUACAGGUGGUGCAUGGCUGUCGUCAGCUCGUGUCGUGAGAUGUUGGGUUAAGUCCCGCAACGAGCGCAACCCUCGUUCUAUGUUGCCAGCAGGCCCUUCGGGGUGCUGGGGACUCAUAGGAGACUGCCGGGGUCAACUCGGAGGAAGGUGGGGAUGACGUUUCCAGGUUAGG
This 224-nucleotide unclassified non-coding RNA is filed under the name uncultured Nocardioidaceae bacterium. Its description in RNAcentral is "contains 16S-23S intergenic spacer region". It matches the Rfam family "Bacterial small subunit ribosomal RNA", at positions 976 to 1194 of the family's 1533-position model. The record is from RNAcentral. Lineage: Bacteria; Bacillati; Actinomycetota; Actinomycetes; Propionibacteriales; Nocardioidaceae.